GAUGAACGCUGACAGAAUGCUUAACACAUGCAAGUCAACUGUGGCGGACGGGUGAGUAACGCGUAAAGAACUUGCCUCACAGAUAGGGACACAAGUUGGAAACGAAUGCUAAUACCUGAGACUGUGAGAGAGCUUUGCGUCCCAUUAGCUAGUUGGAGAGGUAACGGCUAACCAAGGCGAGGAUGGAUAGCCGGCCUGAGAGGGUGAGCGGCCACAAGGGGACUGAGACACGGCCCUUACUCCUACGGGAGGCAGCAGUGGGGAAUAGUGGACAAUGGACCAAAGUCUGAUCCAGCAAUUCUGUGUGCACGAUGAAGUUUUCGGAAUGUAAAGUGCUUUCAGUUGGGAAGCGGUACCAACAGAAGAAGUGACGGCUAAAUACGUGCCAGCAGCCGCGGUAAUAC
Molecule: ribosomal RNA, 404 nt
Filed under: uncultured bacterium
Lineage: Bacteria
Description: partial 16S ribosomal RNA
Rfam family: Bacterial small subunit ribosomal RNA
Source: RNAcentral